RNAcentral lists this long non-coding RNA (244 nucleotides) under Homo sapiens (human). Its description in RNAcentral is "non-protein coding lnc-LINC02203-10:1". The record is from RNAcentral. Lineage: Eukaryota; Metazoa; Chordata; Mammalia; Primates; Hominidae.
UGCUUCUCCAAAUCCCGGACGUCCAGGAGGAACAACGGCGUCAAGCUGGCUGACACCAGGAACACCCAGAAGUCCCCGCUCCUGUCUGUCCUUCCGCACUCAGGAGCGGGGAUGGCCACAGGGACACCAUCUGCCCACAAACCGCUGGCGUUUGCUGCCAUGGUGCGCGGAGAUGCGGUCCCCGAGGAGGCCACUUUCGGCCAGGACGCCGGGAUCGUAUCAGCAGCAGCAUCCCGCGCUGACA